AAAGCGAAAAGUACAAUUUACAACCAAAACUGGAAGGGGCAAACAACAAAAGAUAAAUACUUGAUUUUUCAAGCAUACAACAAGAGGAAAUGAGUUUAGAACUGCAUCUAGCAACAUUCUAAGAGUCCAUAUAAUUAUCAUAUUCUCCAGUGCAGAUUUGAUAGGCCGUUAAGGCAUACAGAACAAGAUUAUACAUUCUAUGGUUUGGCAUCUCCAUGAACCCUGAUUAAUUCUUUAUAUGUCAGCACCUUAUGAGACCCCCAACAGCUUCUUUAUGUCAUGCUCGAGACUCAAAGGUGAAGUUGUGGGAUAGUAACGAUCUACAACUUGUCCAUCCUUAUUGACAAGGAAUUUGGCAAAGUU
RNAcentral lists this unclassified non-coding RNA (363 nucleotides) under Hevea brasiliensis (rubber tree). The record is from RNAcentral. Lineage: Eukaryota; Viridiplantae; Streptophyta; Magnoliopsida; Malpighiales; Euphorbiaceae.